UUGUUCUGGGUGAAGUUCUUUACCGUAGGAAAACUGGAUGAGACACAGAAAUGGGAGUGGAUGUUGCCACAAUCUGCAUGUUCGCCCAAGGCCAGGAAUAAAAAUCACAAAGAAGGAAUGCGAGUGAUUUAUAACCUGCUUCACAGCCUUAAGCCACUGAAGCAGGGUGCAAGAGAUGAAAUACAGGUCUUCCCAAACUCUUAGCCACCUACUCAUCCCCAUCUACACAAAAAUCACCGGCGUUCCGUGUUCUUUUCCAUUGCUCAGUCCCUCACGACAUUCCUUACAAUGCAAAAAACCCAAUGAGCAAAAUUAUGCAGUUGGCAGCCAAAGGUUCCAAAAGACUAAAGAAGCUGUCACUGUUCCCGAAAGCUCACAAGUGAAAAGCUAAACAAAAACCGACGUGCCACUAAGUACACAAAUCAGAAGGCUGGAGAGAAGGAGGACUUCAAUGCACUAUCUAAAUAAAUAAAAGUCGACCUCGAUGCUG
Long non-coding RNA from Podarcis raffonei (Aeolian wall lizard), 490 nucleotides. RefSeq lists it as uncharacterized. The transcript has 2 exons. The record is from RefSeq and is a predicted model, not a curated record. Lineage: Eukaryota; Metazoa; Chordata; Lepidosauria; Squamata; Lacertidae.